UUUGACUGGAGUUGCAGCGUCUUUAGCCGCUAAACCCCCCAAUUUUUAAUGGUUGACCUCGGAUCAGGUAGGAAUACCCGCUGAACUUAAGCAUAUCAAAAGGCCGGAGGAAACA
RNAcentral lists this ribosomal RNA (115 nucleotides) under Pestalotiopsis chamaeropis. RNAcentral describes it as "partial 28S ribosomal RNA". Lineage: Eukaryota; Fungi; Ascomycota; Sordariomycetes; Amphisphaeriales; Sporocadaceae. The record is from RNAcentral.